Molecule: ribosomal RNA, 253 nt
Filed under: uncultured bacterium
Lineage: Bacteria
Description: partial 16S ribosomal RNA
Rfam family: Bacterial small subunit ribosomal RNA
Source: RNAcentral
GACGAACCGUGCGAACGUUGUUCGGAAUCACUGGGCUUAAAGGGCGCGUAGGCGGGUUUGCAAGUCUGCGGUGAAAUCCUCCAGCUUAACUGGAGAAGUGCCGUGGAUACUGCGGAUCUCGAGGAGGGUAGGGGCAUCUGGAACGUUGGGUGGAGCGGUGAAAUGCGUUGAUAUCCAACGGAACUCCGGUGGCGAAGGCGAGGUGCUGGACCCUUUCUGACGCUGAGGCGCGAAAGCCAGGGGAGCAAACGGG